Sphaerodactylus townsendi is the source of this 242-nucleotide long non-coding RNA. RefSeq lists it as uncharacterized. The transcript has 3 exons. Lineage: Eukaryota; Metazoa; Chordata; Lepidosauria; Squamata; Sphaerodactylidae. The record is from RefSeq and is a predicted model, not a curated record.
CCUCUACCAUCCCAGCUAUUGUGCAGCCAUCAAACUGCACAAUAGUUUGGCACAUGGUUCAAGUCAAAGAGGGUCUUUCAUCCUGAAAGAUUUUGAAGUGCUUCACAAACUGUGCUAACAUAAUUGCAGCACCAGCAGAAAUGCGACAGUAGCAGAACAAACAGAAUUUCUUACAUCUGGUUCUUGGUGCAAGGAAAUCUUGAACAUUUUGCCAAGUGUGCAGAGGUGGAUAGAAGAGGGAA